Molecule: unclassified non-coding RNA, 262 nt
Filed under: Hevea brasiliensis (rubber tree)
Lineage: Eukaryota; Viridiplantae; Streptophyta; Magnoliopsida; Malpighiales; Euphorbiaceae
Source: RNAcentral
ACCUGACCAUGACAGGAGUUCACUAGCGUACAUAUGAUGUUGCUGCCCAUUUUUAAAAUUCGUAAGAUUCAUUCCAUAUUUUGGAGGUAUUUAAAAGCAAAAUAUUUCCCACUUGGCACAAAUUCAUGCUUGGUGUUGUACUUUUAGAUGUACGAGUUGCAAAGAUGAAAAUCCUUGUCUAGUGUACACAGCUCAAAAAUGAUAGAAGGCUUAGCUAUCAAGCAUCGAGUGUAGCAUAUGUACAAUAAGUGAUAGUAUUUGU